RNAcentral lists this ribosomal RNA (460 nucleotides) under uncultured bacterium. RNAcentral describes it as "partial 16S ribosomal RNA". It matches the Rfam family "Bacterial small subunit ribosomal RNA", at positions 338 to 795 of the family's 1533-position model. The record is from RNAcentral.
CCUACGGGAGGCAGCAGUGAGGAAUAUUGGUCAAUGGACGCAAGUCUGAACCAGCCAUGCCGCGUGCAGGAAGACGGCUCUAUGAGUUGUAAACUGCUUUUGUACGAGGGUAAACGCAGAUACGCGUAUCUGUCUGCCAGUAUCGUACGAAUAAGGAUCGGCUAACUCCGUGCCAGCAGCCGCGGUAAUACGGAGGAUUCAAGCGUUGUCCGGAUUUAUUGGGUUUAAAGGGUGCGUAGGCGGUAGGAUAAGUUAGAGGUGAAAGCCCGAGGCUCAACUUCGGAAGUGCCUCUGAUACUGGUCGGCUAGAGAGUAGUAGAGGUAGGCGGAAUGUAUGGUGUAGCGGUGAAAUGCUUAGAGAUCAGACAGAACACCGAUGGCGAAGGCAGCUUACCAAUCUGCAUCUGACGUUGAGGCACGAAAGCGUGGGGAGCAAACAGGAUUAGAUACCCGAGUAGUC